RNAcentral lists this ribosomal RNA (1494 nucleotides) under Lactiplantibacillus pentosus. RNAcentral describes it as "bacterial SSU rRNA". It matches the Rfam family "Bacterial small subunit ribosomal RNA". Lineage: Bacteria; Bacillati; Bacillota; Bacilli; Lactobacillales; Lactobacillaceae. The record is from RNAcentral.
AGGCGGCGUGCUAUACAUGCAAGUCGAACGAACUCUGGUAUUGAUUGGUGCUUGCAUCAUGAUUUACAUUUGAGUGAGUGGCGAACUGGUGAGUAACACGUGGGAAACCUGCCCAGAAGCGGGGGAUAACACCUGGAAACAGAUGCUAAUACCGCAUAACAACUUGGACCGCAUGGUCCGAGUUUGAAAGAUGGCUUCGGCUAUCACUUUUGGAUGGUCCCGCGGCGUAUUAGCUAGAUGGUGGGGUAACGGCUCACCAUGGCAAUGAUACGUAGCCGACCUGAGAGGGUAAUCGGCCACAUUGGGACUGAGACACGGCCCAAACUCCUACGGGAGGCAGCAGUAGGGAAUCUUCCACAAUGGACGAAAGUCUGAUGGAGCAACGCCGCGUGAGUGAAGAAGGGUUUCGGCUCGUAAAACUCUGUUGUUAAAGAAGAACAUAUCUGAGAGUAACUGUUCAGGUAUUGACGGUAUUUAACCAGAAAGCCACGGCUAACUACGUGCCAGCAGCCGCGGUAAUACGUAGGUGGCAAGCGUUGUCCGGAUUUAUUGGGCGUAAAGCGAGCGCAGGCGGUUUUUUAAGUCUGAUGUGAAAGCCUUCGGCUCAACCGAAGAAGUGCAUCGGAAACUGGGAAACUUGAGUGCAGAAGAGGACAGUGGAACUCCAUGUGUAGCGGUGAAAUGCGUAGAUAUAUGGAAGAACACCAGUGGCGAAGGCGGCUGUCUGGUCUGUAACUGACGCUGAGGCUCGAAAGUAUGGGUAGCAAACAGGAUUAGAUACCCUGGUAGUCCAUACCGUAAACGAUGAAUGCUAAGUGUUGGAGGGUUUCCGCCCUUCAGUGCUGCAGCUAACGCAUUAAGCAUUCCGCCUGGGGAGUACGGCCGCAAGGCUGAAACUCAAAGGAAUUGACGGGGGCCCGCACAAGCGGUGGAGCAUGUGGUUUAAUUCGAAGCUACGCGAAGAACCUUACCAGGUCUUGACAUACUAUGCAAAUCUAAGAGAUUAGACGUUCCCUUCGGGGACAUGGAUACAGGUGGUGCAUGGUUGUCGUCAGCUCGUGUCGUGAGAUGUUGGGUUAAGUCCCGCAACGAGCGCAACCCUUAUUAUCAGUUGCCAGCAUUAAGUUGGGCACUCUGGUGAGACUGCCGGUGACAAACCGGAGGAAGGUGGGGAUGACGUCAAAUCAUCAUGCCCCUUAUGACCUGGGCUACACACGUGCUACAAUGGAUGGUACAACGAGUUGCGAACUCGCGAGAGUAAGCUAAUCUCUUAAAGCCAUUCUCAGUUCGGAUUGUAGGCUGCAACUCGCCUACAUGAAGUCGGAAUCGCUAGUAAUCGCGGAUCAGCAUGCCGCGGUGAAUACGUUCCCGGGCCUUGUACACACCGCCCGUCACACCAUGAGAGUUUGUAACACCCAAAGUCGGUGGGGUAACCUUUUAGGAACCAGCCGCCUAAGGUGGACAGAUGAUUAGGGUGAAGUCGUAACAAGAGCG